AUAAUACUAGAUAAAAAGUAACAAUGACUAUUUUUAUCUAUAAGUCUUGGCCAAAUUACGUGCCAGCAGUCGCGGUAAUACGUAGAAGACUAGUGUUAUUCAUCUUUAAUCGGUUUAAAGGGUACCUAGACGGAUAAUUAAGCCACUUAAAAUAAAAAAAUUGGUACUAAUUUUCUAGAGUUUUAUAAAAGAAUGUCGAAUAACUAGAGAAGAGAUAAAAUUUUUUGAUACUGGUUAGACGGGUAACAGUGAAGACUACAUUCUAUGUAAAAACUGACGUUGAGGGACGAAGCCUUGGGUAGCAAUAAGGAUUAGAUACCCUAGUAGUCCAAGGAGAAAAUUAUGAAUGUCAUAGACUAGUUUAAUUUAGUUUAUAAAUGAAAGUGUAAGCAUUCCACCUCAUGAGUAAAGCGGCAACGCUGAAAUUGAAAUCAUUAGACCGUGUCUGAAACCAGUAGUGAAGUAUGUUAUUUAAUUCGAUAAUCCGCGAAAAACCUUACCACGUUUUGAAUUUUUAUAUUUUCUACAAGCGUUGCAUGGCUGUCUUAAGUUAAUGUCGUGAGAUUUGGUUCACUCCUUUAAUUAACGAAAUCCCCUUGUUUUAAUUUGAUUUAAAAAUAUAUUUUAUCUACAUAUUGGCCUAAAUAUAGAGGGACCAAGACAAGUCAUCAUGGCCUUAAUAACGUGGGCUAUA
Molecule: ribosomal RNA, 694 nt
Filed under: Chaetothyriales sp. MACm13e
Lineage: Eukaryota; Fungi; Ascomycota; Eurotiomycetes; Chaetothyriales
Description: SSU rRNA
Rfam family: Bacterial small subunit ribosomal RNA
Source: RNAcentral